GACGAAGGGGGCUAGCGUUGUUCGGAAUUACUGGGCGUAAAGCGUGUGUAGGUGGUUUUCCAAGUUGGAUGUGAAAGCCUUGAGCUCAACUCAAGAAAUGCAUUCAGGACUGGAUGACUAGAGGACCGGAGAGGAUAGUGGAAUUCCCAGUGUAGUGGUGAAAUACGUAGAGAUUGGGAAGAACACCAGUGGCGAAGGCGGCUAUCUGGACGGUUUCUGACACUAAGACUCGAAAGCGUGGGGAGCAAACAGG
Molecule: ribosomal RNA, 253 nt
Filed under: uncultured bacterium
Lineage: Bacteria
Description: partial 16S ribosomal RNA
Rfam family: Bacterial small subunit ribosomal RNA
Source: RNAcentral